UACGAGGGGUGCAAGCGUUGCUCGGAAUUAUUGGGCGUAAAGGGUAGGUAGGUGGUCUCAUUUGUCUGUGGUGAAAGCCUUGGGCUUAACUCAAGAAGUGCCGCAGAAACGGUGAGACUGGAGUCCUGGAGAGGGUCGUGGAAUUCCCGGUGUAGCGGUGAAAUGCGCAGAUAUCGGGAAGAACACCCGUGGCGAAGGCGGCUCUCUGGGACGGUACUGACGCUGAGACGCGAAAGCGUGGGGAGCGAACAGG
This 253-nucleotide ribosomal RNA is filed under the name uncultured bacterium. RNAcentral's name for it is "partial 16S ribosomal RNA". It matches the Rfam family "Bacterial small subunit ribosomal RNA", at positions 524 to 776 of the family's 1533-position model. The record is from RNAcentral.